ACCUAGGCGACGAUCCCUAGCUGGUCUGAGAGGAUGACCAGCCACACUGGAACUGAGACACGGUCCAGACUCCUACGGGAGGCAGCAGUGGGGAAUAUUGCACAAUGGGCGCAAGCCUGAUGCAGCCAUGCCGCGUGUAUGAAGAAGGCCUUCGGGUUGUAAAGUACUUUCAGCGGGGAGGAAGGGAGUAAAGUUAAUACCUUUACUCAUUGACGUUACCCGCAGAAGAAGCACCGGCUAACUCCGUGCCAGCAGCCGCGGUAAUACGGAGGGUGCAAGCGUUAAUCGGAAUUACUGGGCGUAAAGCGCACGCAGGCGGUUUGUUAAGUCAGAUGUGAAAUCCCCGGGCUCAACCUGGGAACUGCAUCUGAUACUGGCAAGCUUGAGUCUCGUAGAGGGGGGUAGAAUUCCAGGU
Molecule: ribosomal RNA, 415 nt
Filed under: Escherichia coli IS9
Lineage: Bacteria; Pseudomonadati; Pseudomonadota; Gammaproteobacteria; Enterobacterales; Enterobacteriaceae
Description: SSU rRNA
Rfam family: Bacterial small subunit ribosomal RNA
Source: RNAcentral